Long non-coding RNA from Felis catus (domestic cat), 2531 nucleotides. RefSeq lists it as uncharacterized. The record is from RefSeq and is a predicted model, not a curated record. NCBI's taxonomy places the organism in Eukaryota, Metazoa, Chordata, Mammalia, Carnivora, Felidae. The transcript has 3 exons.
UCGGAGCCUGGAGAUUCUGUGUCUCCCUCUCUCUGCCCCUCCCUGGCUUGUGCUCUGUCUCUCUCUGUCUCAAAAAUAAAAACAACCACAAAAAUCUUGCCCUGUCCAAUCCUGUGAACAGUUUCCAUCUGACAACUUUUUCCAUCUCCUCCUUGGCUGGCUAAACGUCCCUGGGCGUGGCAUGGUGCCCCCCCCCCCCGGGGACAGGACCCAGUGCCCUGUCCCUCCUGAGUCUCUUUGCACCUGUGCCUGGCCAUGUGCUGCUUCUGUCCCUCCGUCCCUCACCAGGCUGGGGCAGGGCCAAGGAGCAGGAGUGAGGAGCAAACAAACCAGCAAGUGUGAGCGCUGACCCCCCCCCCCCCCGCACAGAUGCCCUCUCUGGUCAGCACUGGGCACAGGCUGGGCUCCUGGGAUCCAGAAAGGCAGGUACGGAAGGGGACAGAUUCCAGAGCCAGAUGUGGGUCAGGGGAGGAAGCUCAGCCAUCUCCUUGUGAUGCUGCCUGCCUGUCGUCAUGGAAACCGAAGCCACUCUCUUUUGAAGGACCCAUUAAGGUACUGGAUGGGACGUAAUCAACUCUCCCCCGGGGUGGCCCCCAGCCACCCUUGGGACCAACGGGAAAGGCAAGUCCUGGAGACCAUGCAGCGUCUGAGCUCUGCCCUCGCCAUCCUGACUGCUGCCGAUGCACUGCGCGACCACAAGUCGGCUUCUGUUUGCAUCUCGACAUGCAAAUGUCGUGGAAAUGACAGAGGGACACGUCACAAUCGCCUCACUGUCUCUGAGUACCAGGCUAUGGGAGGAGCAUAAGGUAAUGGCUUGAAAUGCGGACGCUGGCUGCACACUGCCCGCGUUCAAAUCCUGGCUCUGUCCCCCACUAGCUGUGCGGGCCCCAGGAGCCUGCUCAUCUCUGGCCUCGGCCUCUUGUCCUACAAAGCGGAGUGUGACAGUCGUAACCACUUCAUGCGAGGUGCCAGACCAGGUGAGCUAUGGGAGGAUAUUUGAAUUUUAUCCUGCAGACAAUGGGAGUCUUUGAAGGAUUGAAGACAAAAGUGGGACUUGAUCAGAUCUGCGCUUUAGAAGACCCCUAAGGGUGCAAGGGCGAGCUCCCCCGUUACCAGGGAAGCUGCCCGGUUUCCUGGUGCUGAAAUUAAGUCGUCCCCGGAAAGCCCCUGGGAGCUGUCCGGAGUCCCGGUGCUGAAGCAGAUCGCGGUUCCCUUCCUGGUCCCGAGAGGCGCUGUCCGGAGUCUCGGUGCUGAAACAAAUAGCAAUUUCCUUCCGUGGUGGUCGGUGAGCUAUCCAAAGCCUCCGUGCUGAAGAAAACUUGACUUGCUUCCCGCUCUUCCCUUGGCUCCCCCCACUCCCCUCUGUUAUCUGUCCUUCUGACUCUUCCCCUCCCCCAGAUUUCUUUACCUUCCUAUUUUCUUCCCGGGGAGCUUCAGAAUGAUAGUAGGGGAGACACGGAGAGGUCGCAACCAGGACUCAUACCUGCUCCCCACCUCGUGGCUGUUCCCAGACUUACCUCCCAGGUAGUCAGCCCCGUUGGUCUCCGCUUCCCAGACCGCCAAACUUUGCCGUCUUUGUCACUUUCUUGGAGGAUAUCCAUGCGCUGAGCUGCAAACCAGCCCCAUCCCCGGGGUCCCUGGUCCCUCAGACCACCCUCCCCACCACCACCAGGCAGCCUCUGUAUGCCUCACCUACUUCCAAUCUCGUGGGCAGAUGCAGGUGACCAGUGGCUGCCAAGGCGAGGACGUGCACUUUUAUGGGCUUUGGAGAAGGCGGGGCACCGGGAACCCGAGGAGGGGCUUCACCCGCCGGCCAAUGGGACUCCGUCUAGAAUGCAGCUCCAAAGAUUACCUCAUAGGCUGUGGUCUCGGUUUCAGAAUAAAAGUCUGGCAUCUGCCCAAAAACUGGGUUGGGGGUUUCUGGAGUUGGGAGAGGGCACUCACUAUGGUCCUCAAGGUCUCCCCACUACUCAGCCCACCCCCCUCCUAGGUCUCUCACAUCCAGUUUGGCCCAAAAGCCCUGGAUGGUACCUACAUCUCCCCAUCUCCAGCUUGUGCUAUUGCUGGAUCAGAAGAGAGAAAACUGGUAAACUGAGUUGGGGAAAAAAACAGGGCAAGCUCAGAAUAUUUAAGUUCAGUUCCACAUAGGGAAACUGAGGUCUGUGGGAGUGGAGGGCUCAGAAGAGCCUGGGGCAGAAGUGGGUCUCAAGACUAGAUCUUUUGAUUCCUCAGUUCAAAACCCAUCUCAUAACUUCGUUUAUUGUUUUACUUUACUGAACAGGCUCUGAGUCAAAAACACAAAUCCAGACUUUUCUCCUUCUGGCUGGGACUUUGGGCACAGUUGAACCUCUCUGUGCUUCAGUUUCUUUACCGGUGAAAUGGGGAUAAUGGUAGUACCUUCUCAGAGCAUUGUGAUGAGGAAUUAGUGGUAUGGUGUGGAUGGAUGUUAGAAAUAACGCAUGUGAGCCAGGACUAGGAUAAGCAAGACACCUGCCUCAGGUGCAAAUUUAAGAAGGCACCAAAAAAAAAAA